AAUUACUCACACUGCACAGCCAGCCUCGAAGACAAAGGGGCAUUUGACAAUUUAACUCUUCCAGGGAGUAGUUCUUUCCCUCUGAAGCAGCGGACUGGAGCAGUGGGCAUUAAAUGCUUUUGAGGGUAUGGGCAAGAAAAGACGAACCCUCGGAGACAAGGGGACCAGCAGAAGACAUCCGUGGCGGAGAGGAGUGGGAGUGUAGAAGCUGCACCCACUUCAAGCCCAGAAAGAUGCAGUUGGCUUGAAGCACCCGCAGCUCCUGACAGCUGUGACAAAUGAGCCCUCGGACGCAGAGCGCAGCUGCUCAGCCCGGCUGAAAACAAGCGCAGAGUCAGGUACCUGUUUGUCUGAAGCUUUAUAAAUGAGUUGGGCGACAUUAAUAUUUGUUCUGCUUCUAUUUCAGGGCUCAGCAGCAGCAGUUCUCGAAUACUUGGAACGGAGGGCGAGUUCUGUUUCCCAUCGUGCUCCUGAGGUCACAGCCGGAGAGAGAGCACAAGUGGGGGAAGGUCAAAGAGAGAAGGAGACACAGAAUCUGAAGCAGGCCUCGGGUGCUGAGUGUUGAGCACAGGACCCGACGGGGGCUCGAACUCACUAACCACGAGAUCAUGACCUGAGCUGAAGUCAGACACCUACCCGACUGAGCCCCCCAGACGCCACUGUUUUCCUUCUUUAGCAGGAAAAGAAGGUGCAGGAAAGAUCUUACUUUCCUGUUAACUGAAGUGUAAGAAAAUCAAUAAUGCCAGCACCAGGGACAGUGGUAUGGACCUGUGGUCUCACCAUUGGGAGACUGAGGGGAGUGGUGGGGCCAGAGGAGGGGCCUCCCAUCUCCUGCUGGUUUGGGCAGAUAGCAUAAUGCCCUGUAUCUUCAGGACAAGCUGCCUAUUGGAUUUUUAUCCAUCUCUCUAUUUUUAAAUGUUGGUAACAAAUAAAACUGGUUUCAGAGCA
This is a long non-coding RNA of Suricata suricatta (meerkat), 948 nucleotides long. RefSeq lists it as uncharacterized. The transcript is spliced from 2 exons. The record is from RefSeq and is a predicted model, not a curated record. NCBI's taxonomy places the organism in Eukaryota, Metazoa, Chordata, Mammalia, Carnivora, Herpestidae.